GAUGAACGCUGGCGGCGUGCUUAACACAUGCAAGUCGAACGAUGAAGCCGAAGCUUGCUCUGGUGAAUUAGUGGCGAACGGGUGAGUAACACGUGAGUAACCUGCCCUUGACUCUGGGAUAACUGCUAGAAAUGGUAGCUAAUACCGGAUACGACCCUCGGAUGCAUCUUCAGGGGGUGGAAAGAAUUUCGGUCAAGGUUGGACUCGCGGCCUAUCAGCUAGUUGGUGGGGUAAUGGCUCACCAAGGCGACGACGGGUAGCCGGCCUGAGAGGGGGAGCGGCCACUCUGGGACCGAGACACGACCCAGACUCCUACGGGAGGAAUCAGUGCGGAAUAUUGCACAAUGGGCGCAAGCCUGAUGCAGCUACGCCGCGUGAGGGCUGACGGCCUUCGGUUUGUAAAACGCUUUCCGCAGGGAAGAAGCCGCAAGGUGACGGUACCUGCAGAAGAAGCACCGGCUAACUACGUGCCAGCAGCCGCCGUAA
This 486-nucleotide ribosomal RNA is filed under the name uncultured bacterium. RNAcentral describes it as "partial 16S ribosomal RNA". It matches the Rfam family "Bacterial small subunit ribosomal RNA", at positions 28 to 523 of the family's 1533-position model. The record is from RNAcentral.